Long non-coding RNA from Bos taurus (domestic cattle), 502 nucleotides. NCBI's taxonomy places the organism in Eukaryota, Metazoa, Chordata, Mammalia, Artiodactyla, Bovidae. The record is from Ensembl.
GCUUCCUCCCAGGACGUCGGUGCCAUCGCAGGGUUUGGGGUGGAGGGUGGGCAGUGGAUAGUGUCCCUACCCCGAGGGCGAGGGUGCUCUGGAGCAAAAGGGAGGCCCUGCCCUCAGCCAUCUGACCGCCAGGCCUGCCGAACACCCGGCAGCCUGUGAUAUGCGGAGCCAUGCAGAGCUAUAUUGAAAACAGAUGGCCAUGAACUAUGCAUCCAGGUUACCGUAUUACCCAGGGGAAAGCUGCAUGCGCUCUAACCAGACCAGCAAGAGAAGUGAUCAACAGACACACCAUAUGCAAAUGCGGACUGGGAGCCUCCUAUCCACCAGUGCCAGCCUUGCAAGACCUGGUGCUGUGCUGCUGGCCGGACCAGCUGUGAGGAGCGUGCCAGCCCCCAAGACCAUCAGUGGAGCCUUACACUUGUACCCAGGCCGUCCCAGUUGAGGAACACAAGCAACUUACCUGUGUCUGAAGCCGAGCCCAGUAGCCAUGGAGCUCCAGGGA